UGUCCGUUAAUAUAGGAAUAAAGAUUGUUAUCAAAUAGAUAGGUUCCUAAAAUCAAGGAUACGAUAUAUCGAACAUAGCUGCAUGCCAACAUUUGCCAACUUGAAGACAUGUUUCCAUUCUGACUAGUCAUGUAACGACCGAGAAUUUUUCCCGACAAGAAGAUGGGCGAGGCAAUCGGGAAAACCAAGAGAUAAGAAAGCACGCACAACAAUAAGAAGAGAGCAGAAGGUAACGCUGCGCGUGAAGAGAGAGGAGUAACGCCGCACGUGAUGAGAGAGGAGUAAUGAAACGCGUGAAGAGAGAGAAGGGGUAACACCGCGCAUGAAGAGAGCAAAGGGGUAACGCCGUACGUAACGAGAGAAAAGGAGUAACGCCGCGCAUGAAGAGAGAGAAGGGUAACGCCGCGGAUGAAAAGGGAGAGAAAGAGGCAGCACCAUGAUAGUAUAAGAAGAAGAAAUUUUCACGAACGGCAGUGAGAGGAGCAAAAUGGGCUAGCACCGUGCAUGUAGCGCCGUGAGUGUAGCGCCGUGCGUGUCACUGCCGUGCAUGAACGAGGUUACCACCUGCUAGAUGCAUGCUGCCACACACGCCACUUGUCUUUGUGCAUAUGUGGCAUUUGCCACUUAUCCACCUUGGGACUGCCGCCCCAACCAGCUGGGUACUUAAGCUCUCUCUCCCUCCCACACCAUUCAUUCUCACUCCCUCUCUAGAGCACACUUAGUGCCUUUCACCUUAGGCUCACCAUUACCCCACUCUUAGAAGUUGGAAUAAGGGGGCUGUAGAAGGGGUUUCAGUUGGAAGAAGCACAAUUGAACCAGGUAAGUGGAUUAAAUCAUCCUUGUACCCAUAGUUUUGGGGCAUGAGAAUAGGGGUAGUUUAAGUGUGAAUGUUGAGAUAAGAAGUGAUUACAUGUUAGUAGAAUCAUGCAUUGUUUUUACUGAUUGAAGCCUUAUUGCCUGAUGCAUUUUAGUGAUGUAAAUGACUUUGUUAUUUGUGAAUUUUUGUAGAAAAAUGCCCCUGUAGAUCUAUAGUAAGAAGGAAGGAACUUCAUAUUGUUAUUAUUUGUGAAUGGAAACGUUUUUGAGUAUUUGAUGAGGCAUGUCUUGUAUACACUAAGAAAUUCCAGGAAGUUUCCAUGCUUUUGUAAUGAACAUUUGAGCAGUCAAAUGAGGUCCAAAUGACCUCAAAUCACUGCCAUAAAAAGAUAUGUGAGUCUAUUAUAAUGUUCAUGUUCAAUAUUUGUUCAAUUUCCCGAUAAAUGGGAAGUUAUGCCCCAAUAUGAGCAAGCAUGCCACUGUUAAUAGAUUUCUCUGAGUUUCAGAACUGUCCCUGUUGCUGCCAUGAGUUUUAACUAACCAAAUGAAAUCCAAUUUCUCUCAAACCACUUCCAUUUGAAAGAUCUUUGCAUUGGCUGAAAGUUGCAUGCUGAAAGUAUUUCGAAAUUCCGCCUAGAUUGAAAGUUAUGCAUGAAAUUAUGAGAAUAUGUCAAUGUUGGCAGAAUUUACUAGAUUUCCAGAACUGUAUAUGUCUAGUGUGAUAGUGUGAUACUGAACAGGUGAUAUUGAAUAUGUGAUAGUGUGAUACUGAACAUGUGAUACAGUGAUACAAAAUAUGUGAUAGCGUGAGACUGAACAUGUGAUACUGUGAUACUGAAUAUGUGAUAGUGUGAUACUAUACAUGUGAUACUGUGAUAGUGUGAAACUAAACAUGUGAUAUUGUGAUACUAAAUAUGUCAUAGUGUGAUACUGAACAUGUGAUACUGUGAUACGGAACAUGUGAUAGUGUGAGACUGAACAUGUGAUACUGUGAUACUAAAUAUGUGAUAGUGUGAGACUGAACAUGUGAUACUGAAUAUGUGAUAGUGCGAUACUGAUACUGUGAUAUUGAUACUGAUACUGAAAUUGUGAUACCGUAAUACUGUUACUGAUACGAUGAUACUGAUACUAAUACUGAAACUAUGAUACUGAUACUGUGAUACUGAUACUGAUACGGAUAUUGAUAUUGAUACUGUGAUAUUGAUAUUGUGAUACUGAUACUGAUAAAUGUGAUAUGAAGCACUAUGCAAUGGGUCAUCCAUUGAUAGUGUGAUGUGACACAAUGAGAUGUGAUGUGGGAGCAUGGACUUGCACCACGAUGAGAUGUGAUGUGGAAGAAUGGACUUGCACCACGACGAGAAGUGAUGUGGGAACAUGGACUUGCACCAUGAUGGAAUCUUUCCCUAACUCUUGAAGAUAGGAAGAGAGCUAGGAUGUGAUGUGAACUUGGGUGGAUCGUGCCCACCAAGAUGUAUGGGCAUUAUCCAUUGGGACCCCUUUGGUAGUGUAGCGCCCUCUAGGGGAUGGAAAGAGAGGGCAGUGUCUUGCAAAGCCAAGAGCCUAUCAAUAGCCCCAAAGCAUGCUGGGGAUUGUGUGUGUGUGAGGACAAUACGAAGUGGGUCACUCACUUGUCAUUGUCUUCGCUCCUGAGUGAUGAUAGAGGUCCUAAGCAAUGGGAUUGGCUUGGCCUGAUGAAUAGGACUUCUAUUUCGGGAGUAGGUGGACUAAGGAGCGCGUUAGCUAGUAAAUGUGGUGUUUGGCUAAGCAUACGACUCUGUUCAGAUUAGUACUGUUGAGUAAAUAAAUGAUCCCCUUCUGUAUCGUAUCUGAUGGCAUAACAUGUUAUUGUUGCAUUGUGAAUCAUCUGUGAUAGAUGUAGUUUUAACAUAUGACUCAUGUUUAUUGAGGAUUUUCUUAUAAUAUCUCGCAAUUGUUAUAAAAUGAUAUUCUUAGGUAGGGAAGCAAGGUGUUAUGAUCCACUUACUAGGCUUUGUAGCCCAUUUCGUUUACUUCCUUCUUUGUAGAUUGACAACUGCAGGUCGAGGACAAGCGAGUGGCAAUCGAGGUUAACUACGUGAAGAUCCGCUCAACGAGGAAGCUUUCUUAGGCUGUAGGUGUCUGUUGGCUAUAGCCAUUCAAUGAUUUUAUUGUAUAUGUCAUGUAUGUUUGUGAGGCCGUGAUGCCUCGGACCAAUUGUAAUAUUUUUGGGUUCUGUAUAUGUGUAACUUGAUAGUUUUUAUUUAUCCGACUUUUUCUAUGGCCCUAGUGAGAGUUGAUGUUGUACCUUGUGGUUUGCUCUAAUUUUCCUCUUUUAAAAUGUGUUGAGCUCACUCCCACCUGAGUUGCGUUCGUGACGUCCGGUCGUGAUCUCGCACUCUGUCGCCCUCCGGCGUGGUAUGGUAGGGGUCAGGGGGCGAAGUCGUGACAGUUAUGGUAUCAGGGCAGCCAGGAUAGAAUUCUUAGCCUAGAAAGUCUUAGAAGUGUCCUUAGAGUGGUUCUUGGAUAGAUUAGUAACUGGGGUGUUCAUGUUUUAGGUCAAGAUGCCGAGGACUUGUGCCAACAAUGUGAGUUCCAAUAAUGACAACACUGAAGCCGUUGGGGAAUUCUUAGGACACUGGGGGCUAUGACCCAAAUUAUGAAAGACUGCAUGCCAACCUCGGCUGCCUCCACCCCAGAUCAAAGUGACAAUGGACUAAUUGAAAAGUUUAAGAGACUUGCCCCUCCCGCAUUUUCGGGACAUGGAGGAGUGGAAAAAGCUGAAAGAUGAAGGAGGCAAGUAGAGAAGAUAUUUGAAGUGUUGCAUUGCUCCGAUGAGCAGAAAGUGAGAUUAGGGACCUUCAUGCUAGAAGGGGAUGUCGAGCAUUGGUGGAGCUCGGUGAAACAAUCCUGGGAUGAGACAGGAACUGAGGCAACCUGGGGAAAUUUUCUACUAGCCUUUUUUGAGAAGUACUUUCCUUAAUCAGUCUGAGAAAGAAAGGAGGUAGAAUUUAUUGAGUUGUAGCAACAGAAGAUGUCAGUAGAGUAACAUGCAGCUAAACUUGCAGAACUUUCUCGCUACGCGCCACACAUCAUCAAUAUGGAGGAAUGUAAGGCGAGUCAAUUUGAAAGGGGUCUUAGGCCGGAUAUCCGUGGGAGAAUAAUAACAGCCAAUCUUCAAACUUUCUCCCCAUUAGUAGAUUUAGCCCUGAAGAUUGAAAAGGAUUGUGAGGAUUUCCGGCUGAGAAAGGGAGGAAGAAUCGACCACCUCCUGGGGAAGACCUUAGAAGGGAGAUUAAUCCAGAUAAUAUGAAAAGACGAAAGAUUUUCCCAAGGGAUGUGAGGGAGAACCAUCGGCCGACCUGCUCAUAUUGCGGACUGAGCAACCAUUCUGCCGCUGAGUGCCGAAGAAGGCCAGGAGCGUGCUUUGGAUGUGGCAAGCUUGGCCACUUAAUUAAGGACUACCCUGCAAAGACGCCCGGAGAGAGACCCGAGAAUCAAGGUCAGGUGUUUGCCCUCAUGGAACAGGAGGCAAAGCAUCUACCUCCACGGCCCGAGGUGAGCUCUUUGGUAAUGAUGAGAGAAAAAUUUGAACCUUCUUGUUUGACUCUGAUUGCCUUCCUAUAUUGUAUUUGUUAUGCCCCCCUAAGUAUUGAACCUGCACCUCCUAAUUAUACCUUAAUACGUGCACAUCUUUUUGGGGAAAUACUUGGGUAUUUUAGCUCAAAGUUUAAGUAUUGUGGGAACGACUAAGAGGUAGAGAGCCUUGCCCAUAACGUUUGUUUUCUUCUAGAAGGUUGGAUUGUAUGCUUUGCAUUGUAUGCUUUAUAUGUCUUAAUAGCGUUGCAAAAAGUAAUGUACCGUUUUUAAAACCCCCAGUAGAUUUAAUUGGUGAAUAUGUGAUUUUGGGAAUAAAAUCCUUUUUAAAAAGGGAUGAUGUAACAACCGACAAUUUUUCCCGACAAGAUGAUGGGCGAGCCAAUGGGGAAAACCAAGAGAAAGGAAAGCACGCACGGCAGUAAGAAGAGAGAGCAGAAGGUAACGCCACGCAUGAAGAAAAAGGAGCAACGCCGCGCGUGAAGAGAGAGAAAGAGCAGCGCCGCGCGUGAAGAAAGAGAAAGGAUAACACCGUGUGUGAAGAGAGAGAAGGGGUAACACCGUGUGAGAAGAGAGAGGAGUAACACCACGUGUGGAGAGAAGGGGUAACGCCGCGCAUGAAAAGGGAGAGAAAGAGGCAACACCAUGAGUGUAUAAGAAGAAGAAGAAGAAAUUUUCACGACGGCAGUGAGAUGGAGCAAAAUGGGCUAGCACCGUGCGUGUAGCGCCGUGUGUGUCACUGCCGCGCAUGAACGAGGUUGCCACCUGCUAGAUGCAUGCUGCCACACACGCCACUUGUCUUUGUGCAUGUGUGGCGCUUGCCACUUGUCCACCUUGGGACAGCCGCCCCAGCCACCAGGGUACUUAAGCUCUCUCUCCCUCCCACGCCAUUCAUUCCCACUCUCUCUAGAGCACACUUAGUGCCUUUCACCUUAGGCUCACCAUUACCCCACUCUUAGAAGUUGAAAUAAGGGGGCUGUAAGAAGGGGUUUGAGUUGGAAGAAGCACAAUUGAACCAAGUAAGUGGAUUAAAUCAUCCUUGUACCCAUAGUUUAGAAGCAUGAGAUUAAGGGUAGUUUUAAGUGUGAAUGUUGAGGUAAGAAGUGAUUACAUGUUACUAGAAUCAUGCACUGUUUUUACAGAUUGAAGCCUUAUUGCCUAAUGCAUUUUAGUGUUGUAAAUGACUCUGUUAUUUGUGAAAUUUGGUAGAAAAAUGCCCCUGUACAUCUAUAGUAAGAAGGAAGGAACUUCAUGUUGACAUCUUUUGUGAAUGGAAAAGUUUUGGAGAAUUUGAUGAGGCAUGUCUUGUACACACUAUGAAAUCCCAAGAAGUUUUCAAGCUUUCGUAAUGAACAUUUGAGCAGUCAAAUAAGGUCCAAAUGACCUCAAAUCACUGCCAUUAAAAAGAUAUGUGAGUCUAUUAUAACGUUCAUGUACAAUAUUUGUUCAAUUUCCCGAUAAAUGGAAAGUUAUGCCCUAAUAUGAGCAAGCAUGCCACUGUUAAUAGAUUUCUCUGAGUUUCGGAACUGUCCCUGAUGUUGCCAUGAGUUUUGACUAACCAAAUGAAAUCCAAUUUCUCUCAAACCACUUCCAUUUGAAAGAUCUCUGAGUUGGCUUAAAGUUGCAUGUUGAAAGUAUUUCAAAAUACCGCCUAGAUUGAAAGUUAUGCAUGAAAUUAUGAGAAUAUGUCAAUGUUGGCAGAAUUUACUAGAUUUCCAGAACUGUCAUUUCCGUUGUCAUGAGCUUUUGAAUAACCAAAUGGAGUUUAAAUGCUUUCAAAUGACCUUUGUUGGAAAGAUACGUGUCUUUACUCGAACUUUGGCUUUGAAACCAUCUUAGUGGAUUGAAAGUUAUAACUUUUCAAAGAGGGACAUGUCAUUGUUAUAAUUGCGUAGCAGAUUUCAGAUAGCAUGUUUUCAUUGUAUUAAGCUUUUGAAGGGUCAAACGAGGUCCA
Molecule: long non-coding RNA, 6343 nt
Filed under: Amborella trichopoda
Lineage: Eukaryota; Viridiplantae; Streptophyta; Magnoliopsida; Amborellales; Amborellaceae
Description: long non-coding RNA (ATRI_LNC001496)
Source: RNAcentral